Molecule: ribosomal RNA, 446 nt
Filed under: uncultured bacterium
Lineage: Bacteria
Description: bacterial SSU rRNA
Rfam family: Bacterial small subunit ribosomal RNA
Source: RNAcentral
AUACGGAAGGCAGCAGUGAGGAAUUUUCUGCAAUGGGCGAAAGCCUGACAGAGCAAUACCGCGUGAGGGAAGAAGGCUUACUGAGUUGUAAACCUCGGUGCCUUAAGGAAGAAGAUCUGACGGUACUUAAGGUGGAAAGCAUCGGCUAACCCCGUGCCAGCAGCCGCGGUAAGACGGGGGAUGCAAGUGUUAUCCGGAAUCACUGGGCGUAAAGCGUCUGCAGGUGGUUUUCUAAGUCCACUGUUAAACCUUGAGGCUCAACCUCAAAUCUGCAGUGGAAACUAGGGAACUUGAGGAUAGUAGGGGUAGAGGGAAUUUCCAGUGGAGCGGUGAAAUGCGUAGAUAUUGGAAAGAACACCGAUGGCGAAGGCACUCUACUGGGCUAUGACUGACACUCAGAGACGAAAGCUAGGGGAGCAAAUGGGAUUAGAUACCCCAGUAGUCCC